This is a long non-coding RNA of Biomphalaria glabrata, 532 nucleotides long. RefSeq lists it as uncharacterized. The record is from RefSeq and is a predicted model, not a curated record. Lineage: Eukaryota; Metazoa; Mollusca; Gastropoda; Planorbidae. The transcript is spliced from 2 exons.
UUGAUUUCAACAGUUAAAAUGAUUUCAUUAUGAACUUCACAUAUAUGUGUGAGCUGGCGAUCCUAGAUCUAAUUUUUUAUCUAUUUUUAUCUGUUGUUAAUUUGUGUAAACAAUCUAGGCUAGUGCUGAGUGUAUGCAUGUUUCCCGCCAGCUCUUUAAUGUUAGAGUUAGUUUAGGUGAGUCAUGACCUGGCUCUAUAAAUAGAAAGGGUGCGGUCAGUUCUUUCUUUUUCCGGUGUUGACCUUUGGUCUGUGUGACCAGGUAGUGAGUUAGUAGUUAGUAAUUGUAGUGUAAAUUUCAGCCUGUCUACUUAUAUUUGCUAUAGUAAACGUCUGUCCAAGACGAAAAGUUUUGAAGAAGAAAUGACAUCUACUUACUCUAGAUAGAGGCCAACUUUACACACAUCGUUUUGCAUCUUAAUUGGAUAUUCAGCAAAAGCAGGAAUGUUUCGUAGAGCUAUUAGAAGCUUUUGGAGAUAAUUGAAAUUGGUUAAUUUGGCAUCAUUCGAUAUUAUAAAGCUUAUUAAAAAAUG